RNAcentral lists this long non-coding RNA (602 nucleotides) under Malus domestica (apple). RNAcentral describes it as "long non-coding RNA (MDOM_LNC000172)". Lineage: Eukaryota; Viridiplantae; Streptophyta; Magnoliopsida; Rosales; Rosaceae. The record is from RNAcentral.
UCUGGUGUUCUGCCUAGUACUGAGGCUCCAAAUAAUCACCCUCUGGUGCCUUCUCUUUCUGGGGCUCUUCCGACUGCUGAGACUUCUCCUGAGCAACCUUUAUGAAGGCUCCCUCUUGUUUGUUUAUUUUAAUUCAUGUAUAUGUACAUAUUUGUAACUUAUCGGAGAUAUCAAUAAACAAGCUUUGCUUCAUUUCAACGUAUUGUGUUAAAUACGCCAAGGCCUUCUUCACUAAGUUCUUUGAAUUUUUCCUUUUGUUGAAUCUUGUAUGUUGAAGCUUUAUAAGUGAAGCAUGUAGGUUGAGGUAGUAAUCUCUUAAUUUCCCGAGUGAGAAAAACUUCUCGUUUGGAGACUUGAAAAAAUCCAAGUCACUGAGUGGUCAUGAGACUUCCGAGUAUCAAGGUACAGUAGCAUAUGGUAGGAGUCCCCCAAGUCUCCGGUCGAGGGAGUUGAUGAAGGAGGUGUCUUGCUAGUAGCUAAGUUUCCAAAGUAACAAAACUUCACCAUUUUCCUUUCUAAGUGGUAGCCCAAAACUCCUCCUUCAUAUAUAUUUGUUAUGAAAGUUGUUAGGCCCAAAGAAGAGGAGGCCUAAGCAAUUUUUU